GAGAGAUGGCCGAGUGGUUGAAGGCGCACGCUUGGAAAGCGUGUGUAGGGGCAACUCUACCGAGGGUUCGAAUCCCUCUCUCUCC
Molecule: transfer RNA, 85 nt
Filed under: marine eukaryotic metagenome
Rfam family: tRNA
About the family: Transfer RNA (tRNA) molecules are approximately 80 nucleotides in length. Their secondary structure includes four short double-helical elements and three loops (D, anti-codon, and T loops). Further hydrogen bonds mediate the characteristic L-shaped molecular structure. tRNAs have two regions of fundamental functional importance: the anti-codon, which is responsible for specific mRNA codon recognition, and the 3' end, to which the tRNAs corresponding amino acid is attached (by aminoacyl-tRNA synthetases). tRNAs cope with the degeneracy of the genetic code in two manners: having more than one tRNA (with a specific anti-codon) for a particular amino acid; and 'wobble' base-pairing, i.e. permitting non-standard base-pairing at the 3rd anti-codon position.
Source: RNAcentral